Molecule: ribosomal RNA, 630 nt
Filed under: uncultured bacterium
Lineage: Bacteria
Description: bacterial SSU rRNA
Rfam family: Bacterial small subunit ribosomal RNA
Source: RNAcentral
UGCAAGUCGAACGGUGAAGCAGAGCUUGCUCUGUGGAUCAGUGGCGAACGGGUGAGUAACACGUGAGCAACCUGCCCCUGACUCUGGGAUAAGCGCUGGAAACGGCGUCUAAUACCGGAUAUGAGCUGCGAUCGCAUGGUCAGCAGUUGGAAAGAUUUUUCGGUCUGGGAUGGGCUCACGGCCUAUCAGCUUGUUGGUGAGGUAAUGGCUCACCAAGGCGUCGACGGGUAGCCGGCCUGAGAGGGUGACCGGCCACACUGGGACUGAGACACGGCCCAGACUCCUACGGGAGGCAGCAGUGGGGAAUAUUGCACAAUGGGCGAAAGCCUGAUGCAGCAACGCCGCGUGAGGGAUGACGGCCUUCGGGUUGUAAACCUCUUUUAGCAGGGAAGAAGCGAAAGUGACGGUACCUGCAGAAAAAGCGCCGGCUAACUACGUGCCAGCAGCCGCGGUAAUACGUAGGGCGCAAGCGUUAUCCGGAAUUAUUGGGCGUAAAGAGCUCGUAGGCGGUUUGUCGCGUCUGCUGUGAAAUCCCGAGGCUCAACCUCGGGUCUGCAGUGGGUACGGGCAGACUAGAGUGCGGUAGGGGAGAUUGGAAUUCCUGGUGUAGCGGUGGAAUGCGCAGAUAUC